GACGAACGCUGGCGGCGUGCUUAACACAUGCAAGUCGAACGAAGAGCGAUGGAAGCUUGCUUCUAUCAAUCUUAGUGGCGAACGGGUGAGUAACGCGUAAUCAACCUGCCCUUCAGAGGGGGACAACAGUUGGAAACGACUGCUAAUACCGCAUACGAUCCAAUCUCGGCAUCGGGACUGGAUGAAAGGUGGCCUCUAUUUAUAAGCUAUCACUGAAGGAGGGGAUUGCGUCUGAUUAGCUAGUUGGAGGGGUAACGGCCCACCAAGGCGAUGAUCAGUAGCCGGUCUGAGAGGAUGAACGGCCACAUUGGGACUGAGACACGGCCCAGACUCCUACGGGAGGCAGCAGUGGGGAAUCUUCCGCAAUAGACGAAAGUCUGACGGAGCAACGCCGCGUGAGUGAUGAUGGCCUUCGGGUUGUAAAGCUCUGUUAAUCGGGACGAAUGGUUCUUGUGCGAAUAGUGCGAGGAUUUGACGGUACCGGAAUAGAAAGCCACGGCUAACUACGUG
This 510-nucleotide ribosomal RNA is filed under the name uncultured bacterium. RNAcentral describes it as "partial 16S ribosomal RNA". It matches the Rfam family "Bacterial small subunit ribosomal RNA", at positions 28 to 507 of the family's 1533-position model. The record is from RNAcentral.